CCCUUUUAUAGCUCACUCCCUACCUUUAGUCUUGAGAGAUCCUGUAGGUUUAGAAAGCUCCCUGCCACAAAUCGUCUGCCAGACCUGGGUAGCAACGUGCCACAGAAGUGCGCUACAAAAUCCUGCCCUCUCAUUUUGCAUCACGACUCCCAAUUUGGUCAAAGAAGAGUCAUCCUCCUUUAAGUGCCAAGAAGAGGCCUUCUACCUUCUGGUGCAAGAAGACAUUGAACACAGCAAUAUAUUGCACCCGUUCACUCUACUAGCAAGACAGGCUGUAUUCCAGCAGAUGUCUGAGGACAAUUGGGGGUCAAAAUAUAUGUGACUGUCAGCUUGCUCGCUAGUCCAGGUGAGUCAGAUUUUUGACAGGUACAAAAAUAGCUUUAAUUUUUUCAUUAGUACCAAUGAUGAGGUUAAAAGCCAAAUGAAAAGACUUUGCAGCUGGGCUGGUAAAUGUUCAUGACAGUUUUGCAAGAGGUUUUUCCCUUCACAAACAAAACCACCACCUAGCUGCCUUCAUUCUCUUUUCUCACAAUCUUCUAUGAUAGCACAGUUGAAACUCUGCUUAUUUCCAUGUUAACAGUAGAAGAGUUUAGAAAAAAAAUUAACUCCUGAAUAGCAUUGAAGGCAUGUACAAGAAUAAUUAAUUGUUUCCUUGAACAGUAACUGUUCAAACUACUAGGCUAGUUUGAAGUAAUGCUUCAGAGCUAAAUGCAGGAACUGCUGAUAAGCAACCUUACGGGUGACAGGGUUGUUAUGCACCAAAGUACUCCAGCAGUGGUGCAGGACAGCAUGUAUAGUAGGCUAAUAUAUCUGAACAUAUGAGAAAAAAAAAGAUUGGUUUGUAGAGAUGUAACUAGAGGUAUGUUACAUCCUCACUAUUAGUCUGUCCGGCACAGCACUAAGCCCUUUUCACUUUAGCUGUUUUGGGUAAAAACCUAUUAUCUAUUCUAUUUAUUAUAUUCGCCACUGGCAAUAUUGUGUCUAUGUCCUUGUGUGGUGUUACUGAUCAGAUAUUGAAACCUUACUAAUCUUUUACACUAACUAAACACAAG
Molecule: long non-coding RNA, 1052 nt
Filed under: Gopherus agassizii (Agassiz's desert tortoise)
Lineage: Eukaryota; Metazoa; Chordata; Testudines; Testudinidae
Description: lncRNA (ENSGAGG00000023210.1)
Source: RNAcentral